RNAcentral lists this ribosomal RNA (506 nucleotides) under uncultured bacterium. Its description in RNAcentral is "partial 16S ribosomal RNA". It matches the Rfam family "Bacterial small subunit ribosomal RNA", at positions 29 to 523 of the family's 1533-position model. The record is from RNAcentral.
AGUGAACGCUGGCGGUAGGCCUAACACAUGCAAGUCGAACGGCAGCACAGAGGAGCUUGCUCCUUGGGUGGCGAGGGGCGGACGGGUGAGGAAUACAUCGGAAUCUACUCUGUCGUGGGGGAUAACGUAGGGAAACUUACGCUAAUACCGCAGACGACCUACGGGUGAAAGCAGGGGAUCUUCGGACCUUGCGCGAUUGAAUGAGCCGAUGUCGGAUUAGCUAGUUGGCGGGGUAAAGGCCAACCAAGGCGACGAUCCGUAGCUGGUCUGAGAGGAUGAUCAGCCACACUGGAACUGAGACACGGUCCAGACUCCUACGGGAGGCAGCAGUGGGGAAUAUUGGACAAUGGGCGCAAGCCUGAUCCAGCCAUACCGCGUGGGUGAAGAAGGCCUUCGGGUUGUAAAGCCCUUUUGUUGGGAAAGAAAUCCAUCUGGUUAAUACCCGGGUGGGAUGACGGUACCCAAAGAAUAAGCACCGGCUAACUUCGUGCCAGCCGCCGCCGUAA